CGGCCCAGUGGCCUAAUGGCAAGGCGCUACUUUCCGGCUAUCAAAGCAAGUCUGGUAGAGAUUGCAGGUUCGAGUCCUGCCUGGGUCGC
This is a non-coding RNA of Periconia digitata, 89 nucleotides long. NCBI's taxonomy places the organism in Eukaryota, Fungi, Ascomycota, Dothideomycetes, Pleosporales, Periconiaceae. The record is from the annotation of a GenBank genome assembly.